This 493-nucleotide ribosomal RNA is filed under the name uncultured bacterium. Its description in RNAcentral is "partial 16S ribosomal RNA". It matches the Rfam family "Bacterial small subunit ribosomal RNA", at positions 27 to 507 of the family's 1533-position model. The record is from RNAcentral.
GAGUGAACGCUGGCGGUAGGCCUAACACAUGCAAGUCGAACGGCAGCACAGUAAGAGCUUGCUCUUACGGGUGGCGAGUGGCGGACGGGUGAGGAAUACAUCGGAAUCUACUUUUUCGUGGGGGAUAACGUAGGGAAACUUACGCUAAUACCGCAUACGACCUACGGGUGAAAGCAGGGGAUCUUCGGACCUUGCGCGAUUGAAUGAGCCGAUGUCGGAUUAGCUAGUUGGCGGGGUAAAGGCCCACCAAGGCGACGAUCCGUAGCUGGUCUGAGAGGAUGAUCAGCCACACUGGAACUGAGACACGGUCCAGACUCCUACGGGAGGCAGCAGUGGGGAAUAUUGGACAAUGGGCGCAAGCCUGAUCCAGCCAUACCGCGUGGGUGAAGAAGGCCUUCGGGUUGUAAAGCCCCUUUGUUGGGAAAGAAAAGCAGCAGGUUAAUACCCCGCUGUUCUGACGGUACCCAAAGAAUAAGCACCGGCUAACUUCGUG